Salvia splendens (bonfire salvia) is the source of this 982-nucleotide long non-coding RNA. RefSeq lists it as uncharacterized. The record is from RefSeq and is a predicted model, not a curated record. The transcript is spliced from 2 exons. NCBI's taxonomy places the organism in Eukaryota, Viridiplantae, Streptophyta, Magnoliopsida, Lamiales, Lamiaceae.
AUCAUACCUACACCAAAUUAAAUGAACAAGUGAAUAAAUACUCAAAUAGUUACUUUAAUAAACAAAUAAAAUUAAAAAAAAAAAAGAGAGAGGGGGUAGAUCCAGAGAAUCGUUUUUUUUUUCAACACAACAUUAAUUGAUGCAUUUAAUUAGAGUAGACAAAUCUUUUCCCCUCCUCUGACAAAAGAGAUUUGAGAUAGGAAUGUGGCACGCAACUUGCCACAACCAACUUGCUACCCACGCCACUUUCACCGCCAUCUUUUAUACAUAUACACAAUUGUUUUCUUCACCCCCACAUCACCAUCACACCAUCUAUUCUCCCUGCACACACCAACCCCACAAAACAUAGAGGAGUCCGAGGAGGGAGAUUUCUACAAUCCAACAACACUUUACUUCCCCAUCAAAAGUCUCCGUCGUUUGUUCCUUAUUCGCCGCUUCUCCAGCCGCGAUAAUCACCAUGGUCCAGGGACGAUGCCGUCGUGGCCAAGCUCCAUCGCGCCUCUGCCUGCUCGCGAAACUCUGCCAACACCGCCGUUCUCCUUCUCUCCCGCAUGCAGUGCCGCCAUGAAUCACAGCGGCUGUUGCCGAAAGCCCGUCGCCACAGCCGGGGUCGCCGCCGCUGCACUCUCGGAGUUUCAUCAGCCCGCGACUGUCGUUCGUGCGAGCUAAGUCGCCGUCGCUGCUGUUCGAGACUCGUCGAGCAGCCGCGCGGUGCUUUCGCCGUCCCGUCUCUCUCCUCCUUCGCUGAUUGUCGCCGGCAAAACAUAGCACCACCGCCGCCGAUGUCGCGGAACCGCUGCACGACUGCUGUCCUUCUCGCAGCUACUGUCGUCCCUUCUCGCCGUACCCUCCAUGCUCGUCUCUGUCUCCCUCUCCGUCUCGCCCAGAUUUUGAAUGAAAGUGAUGGUUGAAAAAACUGUGUAUCACGUGUGAACGUGGGAUGAUGAUAUAUAUAUAGAUUGUUGCUAGGGUUUUGCUAAAA